RNAcentral lists this ribosomal RNA (120 nucleotides) under Marinobacter sp. RNAcentral describes it as "partial 16S ribosomal RNA". It matches the Rfam family "Bacterial small subunit ribosomal RNA", at positions 1 to 113 of the family's 1533-position model. Lineage: Bacteria; Pseudomonadati; Pseudomonadota; Gammaproteobacteria; Pseudomonadales; Marinobacteraceae. The record is from RNAcentral.
UUAAACUGAAGAGUUUGAUCAUGGCUCAGAUUGAACGCUGGCGGCAGGCUUAACACAUGCAAGUCGAGCGGUAACAGGGGAAGCUUGCUUCCCGCUGACGAGCGGCGGACGGGUGAGUAA